CGAGCGCAGGAAGCAAGCUGAUCCCCUUCGGGGGUGACGCUUGUGGAAUGAGCGGCGGACGGGUGAGUAACACGUGGGCAACCUGCCUGUAAGACUGGGAUAACCCCGGGAAACCGGGGCUAAUACCGGAUAAUACUUUCUUUUGCAUAAAGGAAAGUUGAAAGGCGGCUUCGGCUGUCACUUACAGAUGGGCCCGCGGCGCAUUAGCUAGUUGGUGAGGUAACGGCUCACCAAGGCGACGAUGCGUAGCCGACCUGAGAGGGUGAUCGGCCACACUGGGACUGAGACACGGCCCAGACUCCUACGGGAGGCAGCAGUAGGGAAUCUUCCGCAAUGGACGAAAGUCUGACGGAGCAACGCCGCGUGAGUGAUGAAGGUUUUCGGAUCGUAAAACUCUGUUGUUAGGGAAGAACAAGUUGGGUAGUAACUGACCCAACCUUGACGGUACCUAACCAGAAAGCCACGGCUAACUACGUGCCAGCAGCCGCGGUAAUACGUAGGUGGCAAGCGUUGUCCGGAAUUAUUGGGCGUAAAGCGCUCGCAGGCGGUCCUUUAAGUCUGAUGUGAAAUCUCGCGGCUCAACCGCGAACGGUCAUUGGAAACUGGAGGACUUGAGUACAGAAGAGGAGAGUGGAAUUCCACGUGUAGCGGUGAAAUGCGUAGAGAUGUGGAGGAACACCAGUGGCGAAGGCGACUCUCUGGUCUGUAACUGACGCUGAGGAGCGAAAGCGUGGGGAGCGAACAGGAUUAGAUACCCUGGUAGUCCACGCCGUAAACGAUGAGUGCUAGGUGUUAGGGGGUUUCCGCCCCUUAGUGCUGAAGUUAACGCAUUAAGCACUCCGCCUGGGGAGUACGGCCGCAAGGCUGAAACUCAAAAGAAUUGACGGGGGCCCGCACAAGCGGUGGAGCAUGUGGUUUAAUUCGAAGCAACGCGAAGAACCUUACCAGGUCUUGACAUCCUCUGCUAUUCCUAGAGAUAGGAAGUUCCCUUCGGGGACAGAGUGACAGGUGGUGCAUGGUUGUCGUCAGCUCGUGUCGUGAGAUGUUGGGUUAAGUCCCGCAACGAGCGCAACCCUUGAUCUUAGUUGCCAGCAUUUAGUUGGGCACUCUAAGGUGACUGCCGGUGACAAACCGGAAGAAAGGGGGGGAUGACGUCAAAUCAUCAUGCCCCUU
Molecule: ribosomal RNA, 1173 nt
Filed under: Oceanobacillus kapialis
Lineage: Bacteria; Bacillati; Bacillota; Bacilli; Caryophanales; Bacillaceae
Description: bacterial SSU rRNA
Rfam family: Bacterial small subunit ribosomal RNA
Source: RNAcentral